RNAcentral lists this ribosomal RNA (430 nucleotides) under uncultured bacterium. RNAcentral's name for it is "bacterial SSU rRNA". It matches the Rfam family "Bacterial small subunit ribosomal RNA", at positions 355 to 775 of the family's 1533-position model. The record is from RNAcentral.
UGAGGAAUAUUGCGCAACGGGGGAAACCCUGACGCAGCGACGCCGCGUGAGUGAUGAAGGCCUUCGGGUUGUAAAGCUCUGUCAGAGGGAAAGAAAGGGGAUGCGGAAUAAUACCCGCAGCCAUUGACGGUACCCUCGGAGGAAGCACCGGCUAACUCCGUGCCAGCAGCCGCGGUAAUACGGAGGGUGCAAGUGUUAUUCGGAAUCACUGGGCGUAAAGAGCACGUAGGCGGAUGGGUAAGUCAGAUGCGAAAUCCCGGGGCUCAACUUCGGAACUGCAGUUGAUACUGCCCGUCUUGAGUGUGGUAGAGGGGGAUGGAAUUCCCGGUGUAGAGGUGAAAUUCGUAGAUAUCGGGAGGAACACCAGAGGCGAAGGCGAUCCCCUGGGCCAUUACUGACGCUGAGGUGCGAAAGCGUGGGGAGCAAACAG